AGCCGUGAAGACUGAAACAGCUAAUUAGCUCCAAACCUCCACUUGUUCAUCUGUCGCCUGUGGACGUUGAUACCCACCUCUGGGUUGCUGAGAGGCUUAAACACCGUCAGAACCGACCCCGACCGGAUGAAUGCCCGAGAAAGGGUCUCACUGUGGCGCUUGGAACAUGAACUGAGAGACCAUAAAGAAAAGUAGCUUCCCAGUUGGGAUUUACACCAACACUGGAAGAAAGCUGAGUCAGCUCCCUCCUCCUCAAAGGCCAGCAACCCAUCAACUGAUGAUCACAGAUGGGUCCCCUGACCAGAGGGUUUGGACCUCCUGGCAAAGGUUAGAAAACACCCCGAAGUUGGAUACCAUCCUCUGCCGGUCAGACUGUGGGAAGCAGACACCCUCACGCACUCCUGGGGAAGUGAAAGACGCUGCUGCUCUGGGAUGGAACGACCCCCCAUCGAUAACUACCAACAUCAUAGAAGUACUUAUCCAUUCAUGCAACAAUCCCGCUUCUGAGACUCUAGGGAACUUACUUGGUGUUUAUUGCAGUACUAUAAUAGAGAAAAGGUUGACAAUAAUCCAAGUAUUCACUGUUGUAGGUGUUUAAAUAAAUGACAGCACACCAUACAACAGAAUACCAUGCAACAGUGGAAGAAAAACAGAAGUUGUUUCUAGAAUGCUGAUCUGGAAAGAGCUUCCAGAUGUUUCCUAAAAUCAGAAAAGCAAAUACAUAACAAUACAUGUUGAACAUUAGCUUUUGUGUAAAAGUAGUAUAAAAGUGGUUACCUAACGGGAUGGCAAGAGCGGGAAUGGGAGGGAGACUUCUCAGUUUUAUUGUCAGAUCAUAUAACUAAGCCAUAUAGGAAAAAGGAAAUAUAACUGGAAAAAAUAAACAAGAAUGGAGCUGAGAGUGUGGCUCAGUGGUAGAAUGUGUGUUUAGACUACGGAGGCCCCAGGUUCAAUCCCCAGCACCAAAAAUAGUUUAAAUAAAAAUAAACAACCUGAAGGUUGAGAAAUCAUAUUUCCUAUAAUGUAGGCAAUGUCUAAAGGGCUACCAGCCUCACCAGAAACCCCAGGCAUCCAGACAUAUUUAUUGUGCUGUGUCAGACUUACAGAAUCCAGGACUGAUGAAGUUGUUAUGGACCCAGGAGUCUGCUUCUUUUCAUCUCCCUAUUUUUCAGAUAAAUAAACUGAGGCCCAGGGGGGUUUAGUGACUUGCACAAGGUCCAUAAUCAUUC
RNAcentral lists this long non-coding RNA (1229 nucleotides) under Chinchilla lanigera (long-tailed chinchilla). RNAcentral's name for it is "lncRNA (ENSCLAG00000024171.1)". Lineage: Eukaryota; Metazoa; Chordata; Mammalia; Rodentia; Chinchillidae. The record is from RNAcentral.